GUUUAGAUGACACUACUGAUUCUGUAUGAGGAAAUAUGAGUUGGUUGUGACAGGGGCAAGGGUGGAGAGAGGGGAACGGUUACAUGCUGGGAUGGGCUCGUGGGGGGGUAGGUGUGAGAUUAUUCCAAUCAGAGACAAAAUAAAAACCUCCAAGCUUGGACAACAACGCCCUCCAUUGGCCAACCGGAGCAUAUUUCCCUCCAUACUGACACCCUCCAUGUAAGCCCAGUGACCACAUAGAGAUGACCUCUACAUACAUAUUUGACCUCCUGCUUGUCUCUUCUCUGCUUGGAUGGAGACUCCUGGAUGCUGACCAGACUGUUGGAGUAGGGUCGCCCAGGAACGAGAGAGACCCUCUUUUCUGUGGAUGAAUAAAAGUCAUUCCAUGAGACACAAGAGCCCAGGUCCCAGUGAUGUGGCAGGGUAUCAGUGUGGUGAGUGGGGCCAUGGUUCCCCCAGACCACAGGAGCAGCCUUCACUGCCCCAGGCCCAGCGGUGAUCAGCAAGGCCCAGCAGAGCUCCAUCUGCUCUGGGUAACACCAGUGGCCCCUACCAGGGAGAGCAAGGGGUGGGGGUCACGGAUGAGUAACUAUGACAAGGUUGAGAGAGUCCUGGUAUGACAUUACAGUGCACCACCUCCUCUUUGCACUUCAUCCUUCAUCACCCCUCUCCCAGCAGUGGAGACCCCCUGCCCACCAGUACAUGCACUUGAGUCCCACUCCGGGCACAGACUCCCCACUGAGUGACAGCAACAGGCCAGCAAUGGCCACACACACACACACACACAAACAAGCACGCAUUACAUGUACUCACGUGCACACACACACAUGCAUGUACACACAUACACAUUUACUCUGAAGAGAGGCAUUCACUGUACAGUCUCCAGCCAGACGUGAGAAACAACACUGGUUUCCUUCCAGGGCUGCUGCUGUUUCUAAUGUUCCAUCAAUCUAAUGUUCCAAAGGGCAACUCUCUUAAUGUUCACCAUCACAAUGACAAAGGAAGAUGUUACUAGAGGCAUUUAUUCUUCAAUACGAACUCGUACACAAAAACACACCAUCUGCAUGUAUAUCAAUAAACAAUUACAAUUUUUAUCAAAUCGGCAAAUCUGUGCAAAAUGACAAAGUAUUCAUUAUUAGACCUUUGGUAACUGUGACACUAAAUAGGUUUUCUAAAUUUAAGAUGGAUAUAAAUAACAAGCUCGUCUAUUUUAAUAUAAUCAUAAGAUAAACGUAAGAUAAAAUAGUGCAUAUGUGGAGUCUGCAGAAUGUGUCACUAUGAAGCACACAAUUAUUGAUUUGCAUAUAAACUGACAGUAAAAAAACACACAAACCUUUUGAGAUGGUGGAUACCUGCUCUAUGGCAGGUAGUAGGCCAGAGAAUGCCCUUUGGGUCUCCAGGGCUUGUUUCCACCAGCUGCCCAGCUUACAGUGACCCAGCCUAUCCUCUAGGGUGCAUCUGAAGCAUGCUGCCUCCUCCUUGUGCAAGGCCUUCUCCCCUCCAGGUAACCUGUCUCUGGGGCUGAGGAGGUGCUGAGCUGGGGGAUUGCGGCUGGAGUUGUUCCUGCGGGACAGAGGGACUCCAGGGACCUGUAGCUGUCUGGAGCGUACGGACCUCCGACGGGGGAUGAGCAGAGAGGAGUCCUGGAGAGAGAAGGGCCGGAUAUUCCUCCCAGAGCCCCCACUGUCCAGUUCCCCCUCCAGGGUAGAGCCUCUCUCUGUACUUGGGCCACUGGGCCCUGCACUUCUCAGCUCCUCCAGAGAACAAAAGGUCUGGUGGAGCUCAGAGAGCAGGUCCUGGGUGGUCUCAGUGAGGGCACAGGAUGUCAGGAUCUCUGGUUGGUCCACUGCAUCCUGGGAGUCCUGGCAGAAACAUUCUAUUGCUUCCUCAAGCUAUGGAGGGUCAGACACCCUCUGAACAAACACAGAAUCCCAGCUGGCCAAUACUGUAGGUGGUCUGCAUAGUAUGUACAGUAUUUAUGUAAUUGGACAGUAGAGGUCUGUCACCUGUAAGGGCUCCAGCUCCAAGGAGCAGAGAGAUGAAGCAACAGCAGCCCCAGAGAAGAGGGAGGUCUGGGGGAGGAGGUUCUCUGAUUUGUCCCCUCCAGGUAUGACGCUCCACACGUCAGUCACAUGAAUGAUUUCCUCAGUCACUUCCUUGUAGUAGUCAAUGUAAUCUGGAUUAUCAUGAACAAAAGUAAUUUAGUUAAAGGGCCAACUAUUUAAAUAUCUCUCAGUUAAGUCAUACAGCAGAUAUAGUGAAAACACAGCCACAACAUUUGAAACACACCAUAGUCAGGUGUCAGGAAGUUGUGACUCUCCACUUGGAUCGCAGAAACAGAGGGCACUGAUUGGUUGUCCUCAUUACUAUACAACUGAGGAUGGAGGUUUAGUCUGCGCAGACUAUCUCUGACAAACAAAUGAUCACAUAAAGAACACGUCCUUAUCUUACUGUACUUUAUAACACAAUGCUGGCCACAGAAAAUAGUGCAACAUUGGAAUAAUCAGUCUGUUGAAAUUAUAAAGUAAACAUAGCCAUUGUGUAAGGAUUGAAAGGGGUCACCUUCUGUCUAAUGUUACAUCUACAGGGGGAACUGCCUCCUCUUCCACAAUUACGAGGUUGUGUCCUGGUAUCACAGGUCAUGAUCUCCUCUACUCCCCCCAAUGGAAACAUUACAAAAUAAACAAAAAACACACACUUUCAAGAACUCAGAAAACCGGAAAAUGUUAUGUUGGGGUAAUAUUCAAGAACUUUAUUUCAAAAAGAGCUGACAACUGAAAUCUUGAGUAUCAUACAGCUCCAGUCAGUGCAUCUGAACUCCCACUCAGUGGAGAAUGCCAUUACAACUCUCCUUCCGUGGCCUCCAAACGCCUUCCGUGGCCUCCAAAUGCUCCUUCCGUGGCCUCCAAAUGCUCUUAAACGCAAGUCAAACUAAAUGCAUGCUAUUCAACCGAUCACUGCCCGCACCUGCUCGCCCAUCCAGCAUCACUACUCUGGAUGGCUCUGACUUAGAAUACGUGGAUAACUACAAAUACCUAGGUGUCUGGUUAGACUGUAAACUCUCCUUCCAUACUCACAUUAAGCAUCUCUAAUCCAAAAUUAAAUCUAGAAUUGGCUUCCUAUAUCGCAACAAAGCAUCCUUCACUCAUGCUGCCAAACAUACCCUCGUAAAACUGACCAUCCUACCGAUCCUCGACUUCGGUGAUGUCGUCUAUAAAAUAGCCUACAACACUCUACUCAACAAAUGCAGUCUAUCACAGUGCCAUCCGUUUUGUCACCAAAGCCCCAUACACAACCCACCAUUGCGACCUGUACGCUCUCGUUGGUUGGCCCUCGCUUCAUACUCGUCGCCAAACCCACUGGCUACAGGUUAUCUACAAGUCUCUGCUAGGUAAAGCCCCGCCUUAUCUCAGCUCACUGGUCACCAUAGCAGCACCCACUCGUAGCAUGCGCUCCAGCAGGUAUAUCUCACUGGUCACCCCCAAAGCCAAUUCCUCCUUUGGUUGUCUUUCCUUCCAGUUCUCUGCUGCCAAUGACUGGAACGAACUGCAAAAAUCUCUGAAGCUGGAGACUCAUAUCUCCCUCACUAGCUUCAAGCACCAGCUGUCAGAGCAGCUCACAGAUCACUGCACCUGUAUAUAGCCCAUCUGUAAACAGCCCAUCUAUCUACCUACCUCAUCCCCAUACAGUAUUUAUCUCGCUCCUUGCACCCCAGCAUCUCUACUUGCACAUUCAUCUUCUGCACAUCUACCAUUCCAAUGUUUAAUUUCUAUAUUGUAAAUACUUCACCACCAUGGCCAAUUUAUUGCCUUAACUCCCUUAUCUUACCUCAUUUGCACUCACUGUACAUAGACAUUUUGUUUUCUUUUGUUCUGCUGUAUUAUUGACUCUGUUUUGUUUAUUCCAUGUGUAACUCUGUGUUGUUGUAUGUGUUGAAUUGCUAUGCUUUAUCUUGGCCAGGUCACAGUUGCAAAUGAGACCUUGUUCUCAACUAGCCUACCUGGUUAAAUAAAG
Molecule: long non-coding RNA, 4014 nt
Organism: Oncorhynchus tshawytscha (Chinook salmon)
Lineage: Eukaryota; Metazoa; Chordata; Actinopteri; Salmoniformes; Salmonidae
Source: Ensembl